Molecule: non-coding RNA, 466 nt
Organism: Paramuricea clavata
Lineage: Eukaryota; Metazoa; Cnidaria; Anthozoa; Malacalcyonacea; Plexauridae
Source: the annotation of a GenBank genome assembly
UUUUGGUAAAUACUAAAAAUAUGAUUGGGUGCUUGAAUUUUAUCAAAUCUUAUCAAAUUAUGUAUUGAUUAACACCUAGCACAAAGAACUGUCAAUCUUAUCUUCAGCCUCAAUAUUCCCAAAUUAUUGGAUUGCUUUACCAAACAAUUAAUAUAUACUUUUGAAUGGUGAUUGUUUUUCCUUCCUUAUAAUAACACAAAACAUAUUCCAAAGAACAUCAUCCUGUAAUCUGGUUGUGGUUUUCGUUGCCAAGCAUUACAAUCAAUUUUCUUUCAUUUUCUCCAUCUGACAUCCCCCCCCCCAAAAAAAAAUUAAGUAUAGUUUGCUGCUUCAGUUCAUCCAUAUUCAAAUUAGUUUCACUUUGUAAUGAGGUUAAGGCCUUAAGUGUUUGUUUUAAAGUUGGGAAAGUUUCUAAAAAUCACAAGGUUUGUUCCGAAAUUGAAAUUUUGUUGAAAACCACAGUGUG